AUUGAACGCUGGCGGUAGGCCUAACACAUGCAAGUCGAGCGGCAGCACGGUGCUAGCUUCCUCAUACAGCUGGGGACGGGCGAGCGAGUGCGAGGUACAUCCGUAUCUGCGGGGGAUAACGUGCGGAAACGGGCGCUCAUACGGCAAAAGCCCUGACGGCGUAAGUGUGGGAUCUUCGGAUCUUCCGCUCUCAGAUGAGUCUAGGUCGGAUUAGCUAGUUGGUGGGGUAAAGGCCUACCAAGGCGACGAUCCGCAACUGGUCUGAGAGGAUGAUCAGGCACACUGGAACUGAGACACGGUCCAGACUCCUACGGGAGGCAGCAGUGGGGAAUAUUGGACAAUGGGCGAAAGCCUGAUCCAGCCAUGCCGCGUGGGUGAAGAAGGUCUUCGGAUUGUAAAGCACUUUUGUUUGGAAAGAAGAGCAGUAAGUUAAUACCUUGCUGUUUUGACGGUACCAAAAGAAUAAGCACCGGCUAACUUCGUG
Molecule: ribosomal RNA, 484 nt
Filed under: uncultured bacterium
Lineage: Bacteria
Description: partial 16S ribosomal RNA
Rfam family: Bacterial small subunit ribosomal RNA
Source: RNAcentral